UUUUAAAAUAAGGGUAAAAAUAAAAAUAGUGUGAGAUACUAUUUUUAUUGGACUUCUAGAAACAAAAUAUAAAUCAGGAUCGACUCAUGCGGAAAUCGGAGCGAGAAUAGAAGAUUUUGAAUUUUCUUUAUGAAUCGAGGCUGUUAUUUUAGCAGAAAAUGCACAGUGUUAGAAAAUUCCGAAAAUCUGGAAAAAUGUUAGGAUUAAUUUUAUGAAGCUAGAUUUAAAGUUUCAUGAUAU
Molecule: long non-coding RNA, 240 nt
Filed under: Ananas comosus (pineapple)
Lineage: Eukaryota; Viridiplantae; Streptophyta; Magnoliopsida; Poales; Bromeliaceae
Description: long non-coding RNA (ACOM_LNC037318)
Source: RNAcentral